Molecule: long non-coding RNA, 221 nt
Filed under: Mytilus galloprovincialis (Mediterranean mussel)
Lineage: Eukaryota; Metazoa; Mollusca; Bivalvia; Mytilida; Mytilidae
Source: RNAcentral
UUUGAUUUUUGAUUAUGGGCCCAGUUUUCAAGAUGGUCCAAAUCAGGAUUCCAUAUCAAGUAUUGUGCAAUAGCAAGAAAUUUUCAAUUGCACAGUAUUGCACAAUAGCAAGAAAUAUCUAAUUGCACAAUAUUGUGCAAUAGCAAUUAAUUUUCAAUUAUCAGUUAUCUUUCUUUGUAUAGAAUAGUAGUUGAUAAUAUAUGUUGGAAAUUUGCCAGACA